UCCAUGCUGAUGGCACUACAACAUUCCUGGGCUCCUUGAUGCCGUAAGAGAAUAUUACUGAAAUGCCUUCUACUUCUUCAUUCAAUUCACAUAUAUUGGGUGCACCCAUAAGGAGAGGGCAUCUAUCACAAAAGUCUGUCAUGAAGCGAAAGAGAUCUUUCAAGAGACAAAAAGCCAAGUUGGUCAUAGAAAGCUUGAAAUUUUAUUGCAUGACAAUGAUGAAGAGGAGGCAGCAUUGCAGAGAGUUGCCCAAGCUGAACGUGCGGCAAAAUAGGCUAUACAAAGAGCUAUUCGACUGCGCAACAAGGUCCAAUUCUCAUGACAAACACAGAGCUCACAACAUACAAAUUUAUCAUGGCUCUCAGGAUUACCGAGGCUGCUAGGAUAUCAGACUCGUCCCAAGAUAUUAUUUGUAUUAUCCUCGACUAAAGAAUAAUAUGGGUUGUUCAUUAUUUUUGUGAGGAGCAUGGGAAACACUCUUCGUACCAUGAUAUUGGCUUUUUGAUGAGUUGUUCGUUGUUUUUAAGAAUAUACUGCCUUGUAAGUCAUUUUGUUUAAAUCUUAAUAGGAUGGUUUCCAAAAUGUACAAUAUCUGCCUCUUAGAUAAGAUGAUUUUCUUGUUGCAA
Molecule: RNA transcript, 626 nt
Organism: Zea mays
Lineage: Eukaryota; Viridiplantae; Streptophyta; Magnoliopsida; Poales; Poaceae
Gene name: 60S ribosomal protein L11 pseudogene
Exons: 4
Source: RefSeq, marked validated